UACGAAGGGUGCUAGCGUUGCUCGGAAUUACUGGGCGUAAAGCGCACGUAGGCGGCUCUUUAAGUCGGGGGUGAAAUCCUGGAGCUCAACUCCAGAACUGCCUUCGACACUGGAGAGCUCGAGUCCGGGAGAGGAGAGUGGAACUGCGAGUGUAGAGGUGAAAUUCGUAGAUAUUCGCAAGAACACCAGUGGCGAAGGCGGCGCACUGGCCCGAUACUGACGCUGAGGUGCGAAAGCGUGGGGAGCAAACAGG
Molecule: ribosomal RNA, 253 nt
Filed under: uncultured bacterium
Lineage: Bacteria
Description: partial 16S ribosomal RNA
Rfam family: Bacterial small subunit ribosomal RNA
Source: RNAcentral